UACGGGGGGGGCAAGCGUUGUUCGGAAUUACUGGGCGUAAAGGGCUCGUAGGUGGCCAACUAAGUCAGACGUGAAAUCCCUCAGCUUAACUGGGGAACUGCGUCUGAUACUGGAUGGCUUGAGUUCGGGAGAGGGAUGCGGAAUUCCAGGUGUAGCGGUGAAAUGCGUAGAUAUCUGGAGGAACACCGGUGGCGAAGGCGGCAUCCUGGACCGACACUGACACUGAGGAGCGAAAGCCAGGGGAGCAAACGGG
RNAcentral lists this ribosomal RNA (253 nucleotides) under uncultured bacterium. RNAcentral describes it as "partial 16S ribosomal RNA". It matches the Rfam family "Bacterial small subunit ribosomal RNA", at positions 524 to 776 of the family's 1533-position model. The record is from RNAcentral.